RNAcentral lists this long non-coding RNA (281 nucleotides) under Amborella trichopoda. RNAcentral describes it as "long non-coding RNA (ATRI_LNC001658)". Lineage: Eukaryota; Viridiplantae; Streptophyta; Magnoliopsida; Amborellales; Amborellaceae. The record is from RNAcentral.
AGAGACAUUUGGGUUUUUCUUAAUAAAAUAUUUGAUGAGGUACUUACUAAAAUGAUUUUCUAAAAUAACCAUAUUGAUAAUCAAAUUGAUUAAUUUGAAAAACUUAAUGAGCAAUGAUAUCAUGCAACCGUUGUAUAAUAAUAUGAUGUAACAAAGUUAAAAACCCAUCUUAUGACAAUUUGUUUGAUCCAAAAUUUGAAAUAUACACUCUUUUCAUUCUAAUGAACAAUCACAAAAAAAGAAAAAAUUGAAAACACAACCUAAAAAGUAUUUUUUUAUUC